Small nucleolar RNA from Nannospalax galili (Upper Galilee mountains blind mole rat), 128 nucleotides. The record is from Ensembl. NCBI's taxonomy places the organism in Eukaryota, Metazoa, Chordata, Mammalia, Rodentia, Spalacidae.
AUUUGUUGAAAAUCACCGCUCGUCUUAGUUGUGGCCUGCUUUGAGAUUUGGCUCCCAGAGCCACCAGGGGCCUCAGCUCACCUCCUGAUGCCAUGGUGUAGGAAGGUGAAACCCAUGUCCCAACAAGC